This is a long non-coding RNA of Gasterosteus aculeatus aculeatus (three-spined stickleback), 769 nucleotides long. Lineage: Eukaryota; Metazoa; Chordata; Actinopteri; Perciformes; Gasterosteidae. The record is from Ensembl.
AGACUAUAUGUUUUUUUUUAAAUGUAUUGAUUAUACGGCACGUAAUGCUUCUUAGUGGUAAGAUAAUCGUGCGUGUGAGGUGGAGGUAAUUGACCCCAAGCUGCAAACAGAAGAAAAACACCCAACAGAAAAAAACACAGCUAAGCCAGCCAAGGGUGGAUGACGUCAUGACUGGCAGGUAUACGGACCUGAUUCCCACACAGUAAGUGUACUGAACGUCUCCUUUAACGAACAAUAGAAACUUAAAAGUGUCCGUUUCCUAAUGUUAAGCACUGUGGCAGUGGGUGGAAGUGGGUUCGGUUGCAGGCUCCUGUGAUGGGCUUGGGAUACCUCCGGUGAACGGCAGAGGGCCACGCGUCUCAUCCGGGCUACAGGUCAUCGCUCGAUGCUCCACGCAGGACAUCCACGAGCAGCAGCCGGGCCUUUGCCAUGGGGAGGGAAAGGCUCCGAGGAGAUGUGCACUGAAAUGUGCUCCCUUCCUUCCUUCCUUCCUUCCUUUAUUCCUCUCAAAUGGAGAGCUCGGUUUGUCGCUGUUAUCGACGCUGAUCGCCAGGUGCAUCAGCUGAAAGGAGACAGCGGCCCCGACGGGAAACAAUACACAAAGGGGCAAGAAAAGACUGUACUCCUCUCCAAUAGCAUCCCAGCGGCAGUGAAUGGAGGAAUGAAAAAGAAGGGGGGGGAAAAAAAGAGAAGUGCAUCCAUGCACGCAGUGGCAGUGGGAGGAUCCACUCGCUCCGAUCUCGGUGUGAGACUGUGUGCAGCGGCCGGG